RNAcentral lists this ribosomal RNA (445 nucleotides) under uncultured bacterium. Its description in RNAcentral is "bacterial SSU rRNA". It matches the Rfam family "Bacterial small subunit ribosomal RNA", at positions 330 to 792 of the family's 1533-position model. The record is from RNAcentral.
ACCAGACUCCUACGGGAGGCAGCAGUGGGGAAUAUUGCACAAUGGGGGAAACCCUGAUGCAGCGACGCCGCGUGAGUGAAGAAGUAAUUCGUUAUGUAAAGCUCUAUCAGCAGGGAAGAAAAUGACGGUACCUGAGUAAGAAGCCCCGGCUAACUACGUGCCAGCAGCCGCGGUAAUACGUAGGGGGCAAGCGUUAUCCGGAUUUACUGGGUGUAAAGGGAGCGUAGACGGAGAAGCAAGUCUGAAGUGAAAGCCCGUGGCUUAACCACGGGACUGCUUUGGAAACUGUUUGACUAGAGUGCUGGAGAGGUAAGUGGAAUUCCUAGUGUAGCGGUGAAAUGCGUAGAUAUUAGGAGGAACACCAGUGGCGAAGGCGGCCUGCUGGACGAUGACUGACGUUGAGGCUCGAAAGCGUGGGGAGCAAACAGGAUUAGAUACCCUAGUA